RNAcentral lists this long non-coding RNA (829 nucleotides) under Brassica napus (rape). RNAcentral describes it as "long non-coding RNA (BNAP_LNC026923)". The record is from RNAcentral. Lineage: Eukaryota; Viridiplantae; Streptophyta; Magnoliopsida; Brassicales; Brassicaceae.
UCCGUGUUGUGGCUAGGGUUUGUGAUAAUGUUGGCUGAUGUCUUGUCCUCAGUUCUAAAUGGGUAUUGCGUAGAAUCUGUUGAUACAUGGUAUGCAUCAGUAGUGCCUGACCAAUGGGUUGACUAGGAUUGGAAACCUUAUCUAGCGAGUGUUGUUGUUGGUUCUCUUUUUAUUAGAGUUGUGGGGUGUGGCACUCAUUGUGACAAUUUCAGUUGCAGAAUUCUCUUUCAGUUAGUGGUACAGUGAUUUCUCGUUGAUGUGGUCUGGUUUAGAAUGCAUUUGUUGUGGAAAUCAAUCAACGAGGCUUGUUUGUGUGGAGGUGUUUGGGAGGCUUCUAUCUAGGUGUAAAAGUGGACGUCAAAGAGUGCGUUCAAACCGUAUCCGAAAGUUGAUUGGAUCGUGAAGCGGUCUUACUUGUCGGGUUGUGAAGUCGUGGUUCCUGGUUACUAGUGGGGAUGGUAUCGUUCGGCAGGCUAUAGGCGGCAGCGAUAGAUCCGAUUUGAGAAGACUGAGGGUCUUCGGGUUUUGAAGCGGAUGGAAUCAUUGGUUGGCCGAGAGCAGCUUCGAUUUAUCCAGAUCACUGUGGUUCCUAUAUUGGGAGGGUCUUGGGCAUUGAAGUGUUAUAGGUUUGUCUACAGAUGUUUUCGUUGUGGUGUUCUAGUUUCCCUAAAGUGCCCUGGUGUGGGCUGAUAGGUUCUUUCUUAAUCGUAAUUGUUUUGUGUCUGUAAGCUGCCCUGGUGUGGGCUCAAGCUGCUCCGUUGUGGGCUAAAGUUGCCUUUUCUAUAGGCUUUUGUAACAAACUCUUGAAUGAAUGAAUAUUUUCAGACGG